This 1172-nucleotide long non-coding RNA is filed under the name Marmota monax (woodchuck). The record is from RNAcentral. Lineage: Eukaryota; Metazoa; Chordata; Mammalia; Rodentia; Sciuridae.
AAGAGAGGUAAAAAGAAGAUAACCAGAAAUAUAUACAUCUCCCUGUAUGAUGAAGAAAGAUAAAUUAUGGAGGAAAAGUAGCUAUACCAACAAUUGCAGUUAGAGUUGUUAACAUUUUCAAGAAGGCAAACUAAUCAAGAAGACAAAAAAUAGGAAUUUAUUAGGUUAAAAAAAUCUUUCCAUCAAUAAACUCAAACCAAUAGAUGUAUAUAGAAGUUUAUUCUCCAAAAUAUAGAACACGAGUUGUUUCUGCACAUAGUGAAUAUUUACAAAUCAACUCUUAAACUCUAUGCAAUUAAGAUCACAAGAAAUUAGAGCUCAAUAGCAAAAAGAUAGUUUUAAAACACCUACAGGUAACCUUAUAUUACACAGAUCCAAAUAUGAUAAUAGUAUAUCAUGAACAAUAGAAUGGCUAAAAGUUUGAAAACUUAGGUGAAAUGGAUAGAUUUCUAGAGUUGUAUAUAUAUAAAAUACCAAAACUGCUCUAGAAUUAAAUAAAAAAACUUGCAUGAGAUAAGCAUCAUGGAAGAAGUUAAAAUGUAAUCAAAUACCUCUCUUCUCCGAAGAGCUCCAAUACCAGAUAGCUUUGUUUGUUUAUUUCUCUAGCUAUGGAGACUGAAUCCAGCCCUCACACAUGCUAAGCACAUGUUCCUCCCCACCAAGAGACAGCCCCAGCCCUGCUGCCAUGCAGCUUUAAGUGUGAGUUUUAUCAAACUUUCAGGGGGCAGAUAAUCUAUUUUAUAAAAGAGACAUAUUACAAAAACUCAGUUAAAUCUAAUGUUAAAGUAUAUAAUAACCAAAUGUAUUUUUUCCCAAGGUACACAAUGGCAUUUUAAUAUCAGAUACUCUGUUAAAGUAAUGAACACAUAUACUAGGAAAGCUAUAGUUGUAAAGCCUUUAAAAUGGGACAGAGACAAAAAUAUGCCACAUAUUACUGCAAAUGUUUAAUAUCAUGUGGAAGGUCUUAGUUAAUGCAAGAUAAUAGGAAAAAAUGCACAAAAAUUGGAAAGGUAAUAACAGUUUCAUUUAUUUGCAGGUGAUAGAAUCCUCUGAAUAGAAAACCAAACAAAAUCCAUAGAAAAAUAUAGUAGUGAUAGAAGUAAGCAAGGUUGUUUGACACAGGAUAGGCACUUGAAGUCACUAGCAUUUUGUAAUGCCAAACUUGAAAAUAU